GGACUAAAAUGGGUCCAAAUGGGACUAAAAUGAGCUUCAAAACACUCGUCUGGAUGGAGAAAUGGACCAAAAUCAGCUGAAAUCAACCCAAAAUCGACCCAAAAUCAACAGAAAUGGGAACAAAUGGGUCCAAAAUGGCCCUAAAAGGACCCAAAAUGGGACCAAAAUGGACCCAAAUGGGACCAAAAUGGGUCCAAAAGGGACCAAAAUGAGCUUCAAAACACUCGUCUGCAACCAGAAAUGGACCAAAAUCACCACAAAUCAACCCAAAAUCAACACAAAUGGGAACAAAAUGGCCCCAAAUGGGACCAAAAUGGCCCUAAAAGGACCCAAAAUGGGUCCAAAAUGGCCCCAAAUGGGACCAAAAUGGGUCCAAAUGGGACUAAAAUGGGUCCAAAAUGGUCCUAAAAGGAUCCAAAAUGGCCCCAAAUUGGACUAAAAUGGGUCCAAAAUGGCCCCAAAUGAGCCCAAAAUGGCCCUAAAAGGUCCCCAAAUGGGUCCAAAAGGGACUAAAAUGGGUCCAAAUGGGACUAAAAUGAGCUUCAAAACACUCGUCUGCAACCACAAAUGGACCAAAAUCACCAGAAAUCAACCCAAAAUCAACCCAAAAUCAACAGAAAUCAACAGNUGGGGGGCAAUUGGCUCCAACAGCUGCUGACUAUGGGGUUUUAUAUAGGGGAAAAGCCUAUUUCAGCCUGUUUUGGGGACAUUUGGGGUCCAUUCCAUCCCAUUUUUGGUCCAUUUCAUCCCAUUUUUGACCCAUUUCAUCCCAUUUUUGGUCCAUUUCAGCCCAUUUUUGGCCCAUUUCAGCCCAUUUUGGGUCUAUUUUGGGUCCAUUUCAGCCCAUUUUGGGUCCAUUUCAGCCCAUUUCAUCCCAUUUUUGGGUCCAUUUCAACCCAUUUUUGGCAAUUUCAAUCCCUUUUGGGACCAUUUUUGACCCAUUCCAUCCCAUUUUUGACCCAUUCCAUCCCAUUUUUGACCCAUUCCAUCCCAUUUUUGGCCCAUUUCAGCCCAUUUUUGAUCCAUUUCAGCCCAUUUUGGGUCCAUUUCAGUCCCUUUUAGGGCCAUUUUUGGUCAGUUUCAGCCCAUUUUGGGUCAAUUUCAGCCCAUUUUGGGUCUAUUUUGGGUCCAUUUCA
RNAcentral lists this long non-coding RNA (1136 nucleotides) under Coturnix japonica (Japanese quail). RNAcentral describes it as "lncRNA (ENSCJPG00005004786.1)". Lineage: Eukaryota; Metazoa; Chordata; Aves; Galliformes; Phasianidae. The record is from RNAcentral.